UACGUAGGGAGCAAGCGUUGUCCGGAUUUAUUGGGCGUAAAGAGCUCGUAGGCGGUUACGUAAGUCAGGUGUGAAACCUCCAGGCUCAACCUGGAGACGCCACUUGAUACUGCGUUGACUUGAGUUCGGUAGGGGUAAGCGGAAUUCCUGGUGUAGCGGUGAAAUGCGUAGAUAUCGGGAGGAACACCUGUGGCGAAGGCGGCCCCCUGGUUGGAUACUGACGCUGAGACGCGAAAGCGUGGGGAGCAAACAGG
Molecule: ribosomal RNA, 254 nt
Filed under: uncultured bacterium
Lineage: Bacteria
Description: partial 16S ribosomal RNA
Rfam family: Bacterial small subunit ribosomal RNA
Source: RNAcentral